CACAAACACCCUCAAACUCCACGCCGGUCUCACAACAUUAUUUGGGCCCGCUGCUUCGCAGCAACCCUAUCGUCAAACCCGCAGCAGGACCCUGAGCUGCUUUCAGUGAUCGUUCCUUCUUGUUGUUGUGUUUCAACAGAGUGUUCCACCAGGAGCUCAACACCCACCGACGUGAUUGUUCCUCAUGACAAGCAACGAUGGCACUGAUGUGUCUGAUCCGCCGCUACGCCUCAAAGGCAGACGAGCAAGACGCAAAGGCGGCAGCAGCAGAUACUACCAGCCAUAUUAAAGACUUCCCCCGCAAACUCUUUGAGCUGUGAAAUGUUUGACGCUUUAAGAGAGCAGCCAAAGCAGGUUGCCAGGUGAGAGCUGGCAACCCCCUCUCAUCCUUAUCCGCCCCCCCUCCCGUUUCUUAUAUAGGAUGCUUCGCUCGUUGCUGCAGUCACUGGAAAUUGCAACUGUGUCAGCAAGUUCCAGAUGUCAGUUAUGCAAUGAUGUUUAAUUACAGCAAGUUAUACCUAGAUGAUGCGUGCGCUCUUAUGUGCACAUGUGCUCCUUUAAAUGGCGGGUCACUGAAGUUUGCAUUUCAAAUAGACAGGGUUUCUUUUGAAUUCUGUUGGUCUCUUUUGCAUUUUAAAUAUGCUAUAAGUACACACUGAAUUUACGAGAACAUGGAAGUCAUUGUCUCAGCCCACAGCUUCGUUCACUCUAAAAGUAAAGCGCACAUUUUACCGAUUAUGUCUUGGAUCUGCAAAAACUCAACGAGGGAUUCUUGAUGGUGAAUUUGCACUGAUAUUUUCACACUUUGAACAUGCCUUUGUCAGGGCCGUGAAACUGAAAGGGAAGAUUUGCAAGCCAAUCAGCAGCUGUGCAACAGUUAUUUUUCUCUGAGCUGCUGAAUAAAUAACAGGAUAUACAGUGCAAGAUUAUCACAGCAUCUGAGGUUAACUGGGGUGAAUAAAGCAGUGAGAGGUUAAUCCCCAGAUCACUAAGGCCUAUUAGCAUACCUUACUUAUAGCUUAUCAGUAUCUUGUUAUAGAGCCUAUUAGAUAAAAAGAUAUAGUACUGUAUACUUUUUCAGAGGUAGAUAAUCUCUGUUUACCGUUUUCCUUAGGAAGAUGCGAUGACAGUCGGCUGUAUUUGUAUUAACAGUUACUCCUAACAGCACAGAGCACGUCACACUGUAGAUCUCUUUAAAACCGAAUGGGGGAGUAAUAUUUAGAAAGUAUAUGGCAACAAUGGCAAAAGGGUAUUUGAAGUUUCAUAGCAUUGCCAUUAGGACUAGAACAAAAAAAAUAUGCCUCCUGUCAUAAAAUGCACUUACUGAUUUGAAGAACUGCAGUUGUUGAAACAUUAAAAUAUUCCUGUGAUG
This is a long non-coding RNA of Oreochromis niloticus (Nile tilapia), 1372 nucleotides long. RefSeq lists it as uncharacterized. The record is from RefSeq and is a predicted model, not a curated record. The transcript has 2 exons. NCBI's taxonomy places the organism in Eukaryota, Metazoa, Chordata, Actinopteri, Cichliformes, Cichlidae.